Molecule: ribosomal RNA, 477 nt
Filed under: Bacillus amyloliquefaciens
Lineage: Bacteria; Bacillati; Bacillota; Bacilli; Caryophanales; Bacillaceae
Description: bacterial SSU rRNA
Rfam family: Bacterial small subunit ribosomal RNA
Source: RNAcentral
CAUUAGCUAGUUGGUGAGGUAACGGCUCACCAAGGCGACGAUGCGUAGCCGACCUGAGAGGGUGAUCGGCCACACUGGGACUGAGACACGGCCCAGACUCCUACGGGAGGCAGCAGUAGGGAAUCUUCCGCAAUGGACGAAAGUCUGACGGAGCAACGCCGCGUGAGUGAUGAAGGUUUUCGGAUCGUAAAGCUCUGUUGUUAGGGAAGAACAAGUGCCGUUCAAAUAGGGCGGCACCUUGACGGUACCUAACCAGAAAGCCACGGCUAACUACGUGCCAGCAGCCGCGGUAAUACGUAGGUGGCAAGCGUUGUCCGGAAUUAUUGGGCGUAAAGGGCUCGCAGGCGGUUUCUUAAGUCUGAUGUGAAAGCCCCCGGCUCAACCGGGGAGGGUCAUUGGAAACUGGGGAACUUGAGUGCAGAAGAGGAGAGUGGAAUUCCACGUGUAGCGGUGAAAUGCGUAGAGAUGUGGAGGAAC